This 24-nucleotide non-coding RNA is filed under the name Arabidopsis thaliana (thale cress). The record is from RNAcentral. Lineage: Eukaryota; Viridiplantae; Streptophyta; Magnoliopsida; Brassicales; Brassicaceae.
CUUGUGCUCGAGUGUCUAGUUGAG